RNAcentral lists this ribosomal RNA (776 nucleotides) under uncultured Neocallimastigales. RNAcentral describes it as "partial large subunit ribosomal RNA". It matches the Rfam family "Eukaryotic large subunit ribosomal RNA", at positions 22 to 644 of the family's 3401-position model. The record is from RNAcentral. Lineage: Eukaryota; Fungi; Neocallimastigomycota; Neocallimastigomycetes; Neocallimastigales.
CAUAGCGACUAUCGUGGCAUAUCAAUAAGCGGAGGAAAAGAAACUAACAAGGAUUCCCUUAGUAACGGCGAGUGAAGCGGGAAGAGCUCAAAUUUGAAAUCUUCAAGGUUCUACCUUGACGAAUUGUAGUUUAUAGAAGUGUUUUCUGUUAGUAGAGUGGCAAAAGUUCUUUGGAAUAGGACAUCAUAGAGGGUGAGAAUCCCGUAUUUGACUAUUCUUUCUAGCUUUGUGAUACACUUUCAAAGAGUCGGAUUGUUUGGGAAUGCAGUCCAAAAUGGGUGGUAAAUUUCAUCUAAAGCUAAAUAUUGGCGAGAGACCGAUAGCGAACAAGUACCGUGAGGGAAAGAUGAAAAGAACUUUGAAAAGAGAGUUAAACAGUACGUGAAAUUGUCAAAAGGGAAGCGUUUGACACCAGUGUUGUUUUUCCGAAAAUCAAUUACGAAUGUUUUGUUUUUGAGGAGUUAUGACUUCAUCGGCUUGCUCCUUUCUUUACGAAACUUUCUUAAUGCACUUUUCGGUUAACAAGUCAACAUCAAUUUCUUUUGUUGUAAAAGGGUAUGAGGAAGGUGGCUUUCUUUUCGGAGAAAGUGUUUAUAGCCUUUGACUUCUGCAAUCGGAGAGAUUGAGGUCUGCAGCGUAGAUCCUUCGGGGUUAGAUACAUUUGUGCUAAGCUAUAGCCUUUUCAUAGACAACAUUGUUGACUAUGAUCAGUCAUGUAGCUUACUCGCUUAUGUCAUUUUACCUACGCUUAGGAUGUUGAUAGUCACAGCGUGUAC